Molecule: unclassified non-coding RNA, 336 nt
Filed under: soil metagenome
Description: partial contains 5.8S ribosomal RNA, internal transcribed spacer 2, and large subunit ribosomal RNA
Rfam family: 5.8S ribosomal RNA (bases 1-120)
Source: RNAcentral
GAUGAAGAACGUAGCGAAAUGCGAUAAGUAGUGUGAAUUGCAGAAUUCAGUGAAUCAUCGAAUCUUUGAACGCACAUUGCGCCCCUUGGUAUUCUAUGGGGCAUGCCUGUUCGAGCGUCAUUUGUACCUUCAAGCUUUGCUUGGUGUUGGGUGUUUGUCUCGCCUUUGCGUGUAGACUCGCCUUAAAAUAAUUGGCAGCCGGCGUAUUGAUUUCGGAGCGCAGUACAUCUCGCGCUUUGCACUCAUAACGACAGCGUCCAAAAGUACAUUUUACACUCUUGACCUCGGAUCAGGUAGGGAUACCCGCUGAACUUAAGCAUAUCAAUAAGCGGAGGA